UACGUAGGGUGCGAGCGUUGUCCGGAAUUAUUGGGCGUAAAGAGCUCGUAGGCGGCCUGUUGCGUCCGCUGUGAAAGCCCGGGGCUUAACCCCGGGUCUGCAGUGGAUACGGGCAGGCUAGAGUUCGGCAGGGGAGACUGGAAUUCCUGGUGUAGCGGUGAAAUGCGCAGAUAUCAGGAGGAACACCGGUGGCGAAGGCGGAUCUCUGGGCCUUACCUGACACUCAGGCGCGAAAGCUAGGGGAGCGAACAGG
Molecule: ribosomal RNA, 253 nt
Filed under: uncultured bacterium
Lineage: Bacteria
Description: partial 16S ribosomal RNA
Rfam family: Bacterial small subunit ribosomal RNA
Source: RNAcentral